This 73-nucleotide transfer RNA is filed under the name Mesocricetus auratus (golden hamster). It matches the Rfam family "tRNA". From Rfam's summary of the family: Transfer RNA (tRNA) molecules are approximately 80 nucleotides in length. Their secondary structure includes four short double-helical elements and three loops (D, anti-codon, and T loops). The record is from Rfam by way of RNAcentral. Lineage: Eukaryota; Metazoa; Chordata; Mammalia; Rodentia; Cricetidae.
AGAGAUGUGGCUCUGUUGGUAGAGUACUUGUCUGGCAUGCAUGAAACCCUGAGUUCAACCCCCAGCAACCGUA